Molecule: ribosomal RNA, 82 nt
Filed under: Nomascus leucogenys (northern white-cheeked gibbon)
Lineage: Eukaryota; Metazoa; Chordata; Mammalia; Primates; Hylobatidae
Source: RNAcentral
ACAAAUGGUCAUAUCACCCUGAACACACCUGAUCUCUUCUGAUCAUAGGACUAAGCAGGGUUGGGCCUGGUUAGUAUUUGGA